Molecule: ribosomal RNA, 459 nt
Filed under: uncultured bacterium
Lineage: Bacteria
Description: partial 16S ribosomal RNA
Rfam family: Bacterial small subunit ribosomal RNA
Source: RNAcentral
CCUACGGGAGGCAGCAGUGAGGAAUAUUGGUCAAUGGCCGGAAGGCUGAACCAGCCAAGUCGCGUGAGGGAAGACGGCCCUACGGGUUGUAAACCUCUUUUGUCGGGGAGCAACACCAACCACGUGUGGAUCUUUGCAAGUACCCUAAGAAUAAGCAUCGGCUAACUCCGUGCCAGCAGCCGCGGUAAUACGGAGGAUGCGAGCGUUAUCCGGAUUUAUUGGGUUUAAAGGGUGCGCAGGCGGGGGUGCAAGUCAGCGGUAAAAUUGCGGGGCUCAACCCCGUACUGCCGUUGAAACUGGAUGCCUUGAGUGCGCGAGAGGUAUGCGGAAUGCGUGGUGUAGCGGUGAAAUGCAUAGAUAUCACGAAGAACCCCGAUUGCGAAGGCAGCAUACCGGCGCGCGACUGACGCUGAUGCACGAAAGCGUGGGUAUCGAACAGGAUUAGAUACCCCAGUAGUC